This 442-nucleotide ribosomal RNA is filed under the name uncultured bacterium. RNAcentral describes it as "partial 16S ribosomal RNA". It matches the Rfam family "Bacterial small subunit ribosomal RNA", at positions 338 to 795 of the family's 1533-position model. The record is from RNAcentral.
CCUACGGGAGGCAGCAGUGGGGGAUAUUGCACAAUGGGGGAAACCCUGAUGCAGCGACGCCGCGUGGGCGAAGAAGUAUUUCGGUAUGUAAAGCCCUAUCAGCAGGGAAGAAGAAAUGACGGUACCUGAGUAAGAAGCACCGGCUAAAUACGUGCCAGCAGCCGCGGUAAUACGUAUGGUGCAAGCGUUAUCCGGAUUUACUGGGUGUAAAGGGAGCGCAGGCGGCACGGCAAGCCUGAUGUGAAAGCCCGGGGCCCAACCGCGGGACUGCAUUGGGAACUACCGGGCUGGAGUGCCGGAGAGGUAGGCGGAAUUCCUAGUGUAGCGGUGAAAUGCGUAGAUAUUAGGAGGAACACCAGUGGCGAAGGCGGCCUACUGGAGGGUGACUGACGCUGAGGCUCGAAAGCGUGGGGAGCAAACAGGAUUAGAUACCCCGGUAGUC